CUCAUUAAUAUCUGGGUUACUUUGCUCGUCUCUAUUUAAUAAAUAAUGAAAAAACAUGAGACCUACCACUAGAAAAGCUCUCAGUGGUUGCAUGUAAUUGACAGGAAGCUUACUGAUCCUAAACACACACAUUUAAUUAUUCUCUGUCAUCCUGUCUUGCCAAGUAAAAGAUCAGGAGAAGUGGAGGUCUUCUGUGUGAUCACAGAAGGCUCAGAAGAGAGAACGCAGCAGUCAGCUGGUGGCUCAGCGCUGUGACACCUAAAGGUUUGCUCAAGCACUGCGUGCCGCUGGCCUUGGGCCCGUUUAUGCCCCUCCUCACUAAGGCGGCUGAAGGCACGUGUGGAAGCCACCAGGUAGCAGCACUCCAUCCGCGCCCAACUGUGCGAAGCUUGCAGGUGCAAUGCGAGCACCGCACGGCCAUUGGCUACUGAGCUGCGCUGCGCGCGGUGAUUAGCAAGCUGAAGCGAGCAGUGGGACGGGCUGCCCUUCCCUUCGAGGCUGACCCUUCAGUCGAAGGAGGAAGCAGAAUUUCUGGCUGGCAGCGGCCCCGGGCUUCAGGUAGAGGAAGUUUCCUUGGUGCUAGUGUGGAAUUCUUCACUAAAGAGACAAAAUCUGCCAUGUUCUUCUCAUGAACACAGCAACUGCACAAGGAAGACAGUGAGAACUAUUGCUCCUUCAUUAAGCAUCUUGAAGCCUAAAUCAGUCCACCUCUGCUACAGUACAGUACAGGGCAAUGUGCUGCAGAAUUCCAAUAGAGGAGGUUAAAUGCAAACAUGGAGGCAAAGGAGAGAGCAUCAAGGACUGCCUUCACGUGGCCAGGUGCUAAUUCUUCAGCUGCAUUGCAUCAUGUUGGCUACUAAGCUGUCUGUCUGCCCAAGGAUGAGUUUUCCUUGUCUAUGCUGCUAGCUGCUGUUCUUAGAAUCAUAGAAUGGUUUUGAAAAUAUCGAUUUUAUUACACAGAAAAUACUAUUAUUUUCCUUUGUUUUUAUAGACCACCAAAUGCGUAACUAUUACCUUUUUUUUUGUGAAUUAUUUCCCUUGCAGAGAUUUCAGGGAUUUUUUUUUUUUUUCUUUUAUGAUGUCAGUUAGCUCAUCGCUGAUGCUCAGUUACAUUUCUUAUGAAGCAGACAGUGAAAUCCUAUCUAUGAAACAAUUAAUGUUCAAUACUUUUAACACUUCCUAAAGAUGAAAAAUUGCCUUCCGUAGGCUUAUAUGGACCCUUGUAGCUUUAUAAAUGAUAUUUUCUUGUCAUGAAUGUGAAGUAAUUACACAAGGAAAAAAAAACAUAAAGAAGAUUGUAAAGCUUCUUUUUUGGGGGGAGUGGUGGGGGAAGCUGAAAGGGAAGGUGGAAAAGCAGUUGUCUGCAGUUUGAAGGCUUAGUACUGCAAGUUCUGUUUCUCUUAUCACUUAAGGUUUGCC
RNAcentral lists this long non-coding RNA (1419 nucleotides) under Phasianus colchicus (ring-necked pheasant). RNAcentral's name for it is "lncRNA (ENSPCLG00000006338.1)". The record is from RNAcentral. Lineage: Eukaryota; Metazoa; Chordata; Aves; Galliformes; Phasianidae.